GACGAACGCUGGCGGCGUGCUUAACACAUGCAAGUCGAACGGAAAGGCCCUGCUUUUGUUGGUUGCUCGAGUGGCGAACGGGUGAGUAACACGUGAGUAACCUGCCCUUGACUUUGGGAUAACUUCAGCAAACUGGGACUAAUACCGGAUAGGAGCUCCUGCUGCAUGGUGGGGGUUGGAAAGUUUCGGCGGUUGGGGAUGGACUCGCGGCUUAUCAGCUUGUUGGUGGGGUAGUGGCUUACCAAGGCUUUGACGGGUAGCCGGCCUGAGGGGGUGACCGGCCACAUUGGGACUGAGAUACGGCCCAGACUCCUAGGGGAGGAAGCAGUGGGGAAUAUUGCACAAUGGGCGGAAGCCUGAUGCAGCAACGCCGCGUGCGGGAUGACGGCCUUCGGGUUGUAAACCGCUUUCGCAUGUGACGAAGCGUGAGUGACGGUAAUGGGUAAAGAAGCACCGGCUAACUACGUG
This 468-nucleotide ribosomal RNA is filed under the name uncultured bacterium. Its description in RNAcentral is "partial 16S ribosomal RNA". It matches the Rfam family "Bacterial small subunit ribosomal RNA", at positions 28 to 507 of the family's 1533-position model. The record is from RNAcentral.